GUGAAUAACAAAAGGACUGGAUCUCUUUUAACCAAAGAUUUCCUUUCCGUCUUCACUUUCACACACACCUGUGCACAUGUUCUUUUUAAACAUUCUUUGUUUAAACACUUGUGUUAACAAUUUGAAAAAGUCCAAGAUGUAAAAGUUGAUAAACGAAAGUA
Molecule: unclassified non-coding RNA, 161 nt
Filed under: uncultured fungus
Lineage: Eukaryota; Fungi
Description: sequence contains ITS1, 5.8S rRNA gene
Source: RNAcentral